GGUUAAGUCCGCAACGAGCGCAACCUAUUUUUAGUUGUCCAGCGAGUAAUGUCGGGCGACUCUAGAGAGACUGCCGGUGGACAAACCCGGGAGGAAAGGUGGGGAUGACGUCAAAUCAUCAUGCCCUUUAUGUCCUGGGCUACACACGUACUACAAUGGCCGGUACAGACGGACGCAAAGCCGCGAGGUGGAGCAAAUCCUAAAAAGCCGGUCUCAGUUCGGAUUGCAGGCUGCAAUUCGCCUGCAUGAAGUCGGAAUCGCUAGUAAUCGCAGGUCAGCAUACUGCGGUGAAUACGUUCCCGGGCCUU
RNAcentral lists this ribosomal RNA (308 nucleotides) under uncultured Thermincola sp. Its description in RNAcentral is "bacterial SSU rRNA". It matches the Rfam family "Bacterial small subunit ribosomal RNA", at positions 1078 to 1382 of the family's 1533-position model. Lineage: Bacteria; Bacillati; Bacillota; Clostridia; Eubacteriales; Thermincolaceae. The record is from RNAcentral.